AAAACCAACAGUUACCCCUUGUCUUAAACUCCUCCCAUUCUUUUAACCUACACCAGACACCCACUUCUCCUAAUGGGGUGGCUGCAAUCGCUCUUCUCCCCAUUGAAGAAGAUGUGGUUUCGCAUGCAUUCAGCUCAGAGAAAGAGAAGAGGGAUAUACAUUUUGUACGAGGAUGUCAAAUCCUGCCCCUAUGAAGAUGUGCAUGUACUGUGGUCAAUCCUAGUGGAGUCACAUAGACCUUUGCCAUCAAAAACUGAGGGCUCUUAUGCACGGAGUUGAAUGUGAGAAAGUUUCAGUUAUUUACAAUUUUCUUUUCUGUCCAGUUCCGGUGUACAGAGAAAUAUUUAUGACGUUUUUACUUACAUAAAAAGUUUUCUUUUCUUCUU
This is a long non-coding RNA of Alnus glutinosa, 386 nucleotides long. RefSeq lists it as uncharacterized. NCBI's taxonomy places the organism in Eukaryota, Viridiplantae, Streptophyta, Magnoliopsida, Fagales, Betulaceae. The transcript is spliced from 2 exons. The record is from RefSeq and is a predicted model, not a curated record.